GUACGCUGGCGGCACGCCUAACACAUGCAAGUCGAACGAAGUAGCAAUACUUAGUGGCAGACGGGUGAGUAACAUGUGGGUAUCUGCCCUUUGGCCUGGAAUAACACGAGGAAACUUGUGCUAAUACCGGAUAAGUCUUUACGGAGAAAGCUUUAUGCACCAUUGGAUGAGCCCGCACUUGAUUAGUUUGUUGGUGGGGUAAUGGCCUACCAAGACUGUGAUCAAUAGCUGAUUUGAGAGGAUGAUCAGCCACAUUGGGACUGAGACACGGCCCAAACUCCUACGGGAGGCAGCAGUGGGGAAUCUUGCACAAUGGAGGAAACUCUGAUGCAGCGAUGCCGCGUGAGUGAAGAAGGCCCUUGGGUUGUAAAGCUCUUUCGUCGGGGAAGAAAAUGACUGUACCCGAAUAAGAAGGUCCGGCUAACUUCGUGCCAGCAGCCGCGGUAAUACGAAGGGACCUAGCGUAGUUCGGAAUUACUGGGCUUAAAGAGUUCGUAGGUGGUUGAAAAAGUUAGUGGUGAAAUCCCAGAGCUUAACUCUGGAACUGCCAUUAAAACUUUUCAGCUAGAGUA
This 572-nucleotide ribosomal RNA is filed under the name uncultured Pseudomonadota bacterium. RNAcentral describes it as "bacterial SSU rRNA". It matches the Rfam family "Bacterial small subunit ribosomal RNA", at positions 31 to 648 of the family's 1533-position model. Lineage: Bacteria; Pseudomonadati; Pseudomonadota. The record is from RNAcentral.